Cinara cedri is the source of this 351-nucleotide non-coding RNA. The record is from the annotation of a GenBank genome assembly. NCBI's taxonomy places the organism in Eukaryota, Metazoa, Arthropoda, Insecta, Hemiptera, Aphididae.
GUAACAACAUACAAAUGAUUAUGACACGAAAACGAUUUAUCGGUAGAUAAUCUGCGAUAAGACGAGUACAGAGUUCGAUUUAAGAUAAUUAACGGAUAUUGAAUUAUGGUUGAGAGGGGCCUUGGCGAGCGAAGCGAGUUGCUUUUAUUUGGCAUGGGCGUACAAUUUUAUAUUGACUGGGCCGAUCACUAUGACGCCCUACCCCGGCAAAUGACGCCCUUGCCAUAUGGUUUAUAUCGUUUUGGUCCGCGGUUCUGUGCAAUAACCGCGAUACAAAAAGAAAAACCUAUAUUUUGAUCAAAUCGUUAAUUGCCGGUGGUUUUAUCGUUUACCGCACUUUGAGAACGUCGU